UGAAUGACUCUUGACGACGGAUAUCUUGGCUCUUGCAUCGAUGAAGAACGCAGCGAAAUGUGAUAUGUCGUGUGAAUUGCAGAAUCCCGUGAACCAUUGAAUUUUUGAACGCACGUUGCGCCCAAUGCCAUUUAUAGGCUGAGGGCACGCCUGCCUGGGUGUCAUUC
Molecule: ribosomal RNA, 167 nt
Filed under: Phoradendron rhipsalinum
Lineage: Eukaryota; Viridiplantae; Streptophyta; Magnoliopsida; Santalales; Viscaceae
Description: 5.8S ribosomal RNA
Rfam family: 5.8S ribosomal RNA
About the family: 5.8S ribosomal RNA (5.8S rRNA) is a component of the large subunit of the eukaryotic ribosome. It is transcribed by RNA polymerase I as part of the 45S precursor that also contains 18S and 28S rRNA.
Source: RNAcentral